This 296-nucleotide ribosomal RNA is filed under the name uncultured bacterium. RNAcentral describes it as "partial 16S ribosomal RNA". It matches the Rfam family "Bacterial small subunit ribosomal RNA", at positions 334 to 622 of the family's 1533-position model. The record is from RNAcentral.
AUGGCCUACGGAACGCAGCAGUAGGGAAUCUUCCACAAUGGACGAAAGUCUGAUGGAGCAACGCCGCGUGAGUGAAGAAGGGUUUCGGCUCGUAAAGCUCUGUUGGUAGUGAAGAAAGAUAGAGGUAGUAACUGGCCUUUAUUUGACGGUAAUUACUUAGAAAGUCACGGCUAACUACGUGCCAGCAGCCGCGGUAAUACGUAGGUGGCAAGCGUUGUCCGGAUUUAUUGGGCGUAAAGCGAGUGCAGGCGGGUCAAUAAGUCUGAUGUGGAAACCUUCGGGUCAACCGGGGAAAU